AAGUCGUAACAAGGUUUCCGUAGGUGAACCUGCGGAAGGAUCAUUAGCUUAACACCCACUUAAUGUUUCGAAAGGAACCUCUUAGUGAUUACUACGCUUGUGCACAUUAAACCUGUAUAUUUGGUAGUCCAGUUCCGAUUUUAUUAUUGGAACGUCUGGUUUCAAUAUUUUGUUGAUACUAGGGGCUGCCAAAAGUUUGCUAAACACAAACAACACUUACUUUUUUUUAAUAAAUAUUAUUAUAUUGUCUUAAACUAAAACUAUUAUUUUAUAAUAUAAAAUAACAACUUUUGACAACGGAUCUCUUGGCUCUC
This 314-nucleotide unclassified non-coding RNA is filed under the name fungal sp. RNAcentral describes it as "partial internal transcribed spacer region". The stretch from base 1 to 46 matches the Rfam family "Eukaryotic small subunit ribosomal RNA", at positions 1786 to 1831 of the family's 1831-position model. Lineage: Eukaryota; Fungi. The record is from RNAcentral.